AGGACGAACGCUGGCGGCGUGCUUAACACAUGCAAGUCGAACGGUAAGGCCCUUCGGGGUACACGAGUGGCGAACGGGUGAGUAACACGUGGGUGAUCUGCCCUGCACUUCGGGAUAAGCCCGGGAAACUGGGUCUAAUACCGGAUAGUACUGCGCGGUGCAUGCCGUGUGGUGGAAAGAUUUAUCGGUGCAGGAUGGGCCCGCGGCCUAUCAGCUUGUUGGUGGGGUAAUGGCCUACCAAGGCGACGACGGGUAGCCGGCCUGAGAGGGCGACCGGCCACACUGGGACUGAGACACGGCCCAGACUCCUACGGGAGGCAGCAGUGGGGAAUAUUGCACAAUGGGCGCAAGCCUGAUGCAGCGACGCCGCGUGAGGGAUGACGGCCUUCGGGUUGUAAACCUCUUUCAGCAGGGACGAAGCGCAAGUGACGGUACCUGCAGAAGAAGCACCGGCCAACUACGUGCCAGCAGCCGCGGUAAUACGUAGGGUGCAAGCGUUGUCCGGAAUUACUGGGCGUAAAGAGCUCGUAGGCGGUUUGUCGCGUCGUCUGUGAAAACCAGCAGCUCAACUGUUGGCUUGCAGGCGAUACGGGCAGACUUGAGUAUUUCAGGGGAGACUGGAAUUCCUGGUGUAGCGGUGAAAUGCGCAGAUAUCAGGAGGAACACCGGUGGCGAAGGCGGGUCUCUGGGAAAUAACUGACGCUGAGGAGCGAAAGCGUGGGUAGCGAACAGGAUUAGAUACCCUGGUAGUCCACGCCG
RNAcentral lists this ribosomal RNA (759 nucleotides) under Rhodococcus sp. (in: high G+C Gram-positive bacteria). RNAcentral's name for it is "bacterial SSU rRNA". It matches the Rfam family "Bacterial small subunit ribosomal RNA", at positions 26 to 802 of the family's 1533-position model. The record is from RNAcentral. Lineage: Bacteria; Bacillati; Actinomycetota; Actinomycetes; Mycobacteriales; Nocardiaceae.